GACGAACGCUGGCGGCGUGCCUAAUACAUGCAGGUCGAGCGCAGGAAGUCAUCCGAACCCUUCGGGGGGACGUUGACGGAAUGAGCGGCGGACGGGUGAGUAACACGUAAAGAACCUGCCCUCAGGUCUGGGAUAACCACGAGAAAUCGGGGCUAAUACCGGAUGGGUCAUCGGACCGCAUGGUCCGAGGAUGAAAGGCGCUCCGGCGUCGCCUGGGGAUGGCUUUGCGGUGCAUUAGCUAGUUGGUGGGGUAAUGGCCCACCAAGGCGACGAUGCAUAGCCGACCUGAGAGGGUGAUCGGCCACACUGGGACUGAGACACGGCCCAGACUCCUACGGGAGGCAGCAGUAGGGAAUCUUCCACAAUGGACGAAAGUCUGAUGGAGCAACGCCGCGUGAACGAUGAAGGCCCUCGGGUCGUAAAGUUCUGUUGUAAGGGAAGAACAAGUGCCGCAGGCAAUGGCGGCACCUUGACGGUACCUUGCGAGAAAGCCACGGCUAACUACGUG
Molecule: ribosomal RNA, 508 nt
Filed under: uncultured bacterium
Lineage: Bacteria
Description: partial 16S ribosomal RNA
Rfam family: Bacterial small subunit ribosomal RNA
Source: RNAcentral